Molecule: ribosomal RNA, 1343 nt
Filed under: uncultured bacterium
Lineage: Bacteria
Description: 16S ribosomal RNA
Rfam family: Bacterial small subunit ribosomal RNA
Source: RNAcentral
GACGAACGCUGGCGGCGUGCUUAACACAUGCAAGUCGAACGGAAAGGCCCUGCUUUUGUGGGGUGCUCGAGUGGCGAACGGGUGAGUAACACGUGAGUAACCUGCCCUUGACUUUGGGAUAACUUCAGGAAACUGGGGCUAAUACCGGAUAGGAGCUCCUGCUGCAUGGUGGGGGUUGGAAAGUUUCGGCGGUUGGGGAUGGACUCGCGGCUUAUCAGCUUGUUGGUGGGGUAGUGGCUUACCAAGGCUUUGACGGGUAGCCGGCCUGAGAGGGUGACCGGCCACAUUGGGACUGAGAUACGGCCCAGACUCCUACGGGAGGCAGCAGUGGGGAAUAUUGCACAAUGGGCGGAAGCCUGAUGCAGCAACGCCGCGUGCGGGAUGACGGCCUUCGGGUUGUAAACCGCUUUCGCCUGUGACGAAGCGUGAGUGACGGUAAUGGGUAAAGAAGCACCGGCUAACUACGUGCCAGCAGCCGCGGUGAUACGUAGGGUGCGAGCGUUGUCCGGAUUUAUUGGGCGUAAAGGGCUCGUAGGUGGUUGAUCGCGUCGGAAGUGUAAUCUUGGGGCUUAACCCUGAGCGUGCUUUCGAUACGGGUUGACUUGAGGAAGGUAGGGGAGAAUGGAAUUCCUGGUGGAGCGGUGGAAUGCGCAGAUAUCAGGAGGAACACCAGUGGCGAAGGCGGUUCUCUGGGCCUUUCCUGACGCUGAGGAGCGAAAGCGUGGGGAGCGAACAGGCUUAGAUACUCUGGUAGUCCACGCUGUAAACGGUGGGUACUAGGUGUGGGGUCCAUUCCACGGGUUCCGUGCCGUAGCUAACGCUUUAAGUACCCCGCCUGGGGAGUACGGCCGCAAGGCUAAAACUCAAAGGAAUUGACGGGGCCCCGCACAAGCGGCGGAGCAUGCGGAUUAAUUCGAUGCAACGCGUAGAACCUUACCUGGGUUUGACAUGGAUCGGGAGUGCUCAGAGAUGGGUGUGCCUCUUUUGGGGUCGGUUCACAGGUGGUGCAUGGCUGUCGUCAGCUCGUGUCGUGAGAUGUUGGGUUAAGUCCCGCAACGAGCGCAACCCUUGUUCACUGUUGCCAGCACGUUAUGGUGGGGACUCAGUGGAGACCGCCGGGGUCAACUCGGAGGAAGGUGGGGACGACGUCAAGUCAUCAUGCCCCUUAUGUCCAGGGCUUCACGCAUGCUACAAUGGCUGGUACAGAGAGUGGCGAGCCUGUGAGGGUGAGCGAAUCUCGGAAAGCCGGUCUCAGUUCGGAUUGGGGUCUGCAACUCGACCUCAUGAAGUCGGAGUCGCUAGUAAUCGCAGAUCAGCAACGCUGCGGUGAAUACGUUCCCGGG